GGCUGGCCACCAGCUGCUGAGAAGCACCCAUAGGAGCUGGCUGCUAAUGAGAACACCUUGGAGCUGGCUCUAAAUUAGUGAGGUAAUAUUCCAGCCACUCUGCUCCAAGCCUGGGAGUUCCUGGGGUUGCUGUUCCUCCACCAGUUAUGGCAGCUGAUACAGACUGAAGGUGUGUGGCAUGAUCAGUUUGGUCAUUUGGAACAGAUGAAUUUUGGACUGGAAAGACAACAGCAAUUCAUUGGGUGCGUGGGGAUUGCAGUGGGGUUUGCAAGUCACGUUGUAAACCUGGCUGAGGGAAGAAAGAAGAAAUCUCCUGUGGAGGCCAUCAUGAUUGAGGGGAAAAGAGCUUGGGCUCACCAAGCCCUUCAAGCUAUGCUGUCAAAGAAAUGCAUGUUCUGGUUAAUGCAUCACUUCUGAUGACAGCCUGCAUAUGGUGAACUGCUUGAAACGUGCUUCUUUUGUCCAAGUUCUCAUUCCUUAAAAGCUGGCUUUCAAAACUGUAUUAGGAAUGGAAGAGGCUUCUUCUGUGAUUAAAAACUGUAUAAAGCACCAGUCUAUGGCA
Molecule: long non-coding RNA, 562 nt
Organism: Pogoniulus pusillus (Red-fronted tinkerbird)
Lineage: Eukaryota; Metazoa; Chordata; Aves; Piciformes; Lybiidae
Exons: 3
Source: RefSeq, a predicted model, not a curated record